Papaver somniferum (opium poppy) is the source of this 2044-nucleotide long non-coding RNA. RefSeq lists it as uncharacterized. The record is from RefSeq and is a predicted model, not a curated record. The transcript is spliced from 4 exons. Lineage: Eukaryota; Viridiplantae; Streptophyta; Magnoliopsida; Ranunculales; Papaveraceae.
CCAUUCCACUUUUUCUCAAAUUAGAUGAAUGUAACAUUGAACACCAGUUUCAGUUGAAAAAAACACCACAAAAAAAAAGAAAAAAAAUCAGUAACCUAGAUAAAAGACUAACAGGAUGUUCGUAUGCAUUUCUUCUGCGAUUUUCUUCUACAGCAAACCAGUGUUGUCCCCCCAUGAAAUACCAAUUACGUUCUUCCCCCAUGAAAUACCAGUUACAUAGAAGAAAGACCUAACGCCGUAUUGAUAUUCUUAUAGGGAUUCGUCGAUUGAAGGAAAGCUUGGGUUGUUAAUUAGGAUUUUGAUGCUUUUUGUGUUUGUGUUGUAGGGAUUCGUCGAUUAAAGGAAAGCUUGGGUUUUUGAACAGUGGAUUGCAAACAAAUUCAAUUUAGGGUCUAGGGUUUCGUCUAUUGGAAUAAAGCUUGGGUAUUUCAUACAAUUUGGGGUUUAGGUACGAUUUUUGUCCAAGAUAAGUCAUGGAGAAACCCCAAUAGCCAUUCAAGAAAAAAUUUCAGUACUUCACAAUUCAGUUGGUAAUUCAUAUUAAUGAAUCAUGCUUCCAAUGUUCACUACACCAUCAGCACCAUCGUAGCCAUCUCCACCAUCAAAACAAGUUCACCACCAAGCUACACAGCCAUUAUCAAUUUACUUCAGUCAAACUUUGGAUGCCAAAAUGAACAGAACAUCUCAUUCUAAGUGAACGAUUAGUUGAAGCAUUUCACAACGCUACCCUGCUUGCAUCACUUAUCCAUCAAUCCUGCAAAUAUGUCAAACAUUUAGUAGAAGAAAAAGACCUAACAGGAUAAAAGAUAGAAAAAAAAAAGCAGUAACCUAGAUAAAAGACCUAACAGGAUGUUCGUAUGCAUUUCUUCUGCGAUUUUCUUCUGAAGAAAACCAGUGUUGUUCCCCCAUGAAAUACCAGUUAUGUUCUUCCCCCAUGAAGAGGCACCGGCUAAGAGGAAAACGGAUCGACCAAAGAAGGGAGAAAGCAGGACAAGCAGCGCGCAUAUGGUCCUUUCAAAUGAUCCAUUCGCUCCUUCGCAACAUGAGGAUCCAAUCGAUCAUUUUCAAGAAAGUCAAGCGCCAAACAAUCUAAUCGUUCCUUCCCAAUAGAGCCAAGCGAGUACAGCACGAGUAUCAAGGAUACGUGCAUGGAAGGGACAAGCAAGACAAAAGGGUUCUAUGGUGACUAUAAGGGCCGCUCUUGGUGAUGGAAGCACGCUUAGGGAUGAACGCGGUAGACCCCAUCGAACGUGUUAAACCAUAUUCGAGGAAUAUUACUCGAAACUUCCUGAAAUCGUUAAGCCCUAAGUGUUAUCAACCGACGACGUGGAUGUGGAUGGGAAUUGUGGUUAUCACGUUGCGUCGGAACAAAUAGGCCAUAUAAGUUUGGCGGACGAUGAGAACCUAACCCAAUGUCAAUACUUUAGAAAGAUGAUGGCCUUGCGCUUACAAGAAGACAAGGAAUCUUACAUUUCGAUGAUGAAGGAAGGAAAAACAAGACAAGACAAAGAAGUGAUUUUUGGAAAAAUGGUUGCUAGAGUACAAGGGCCAAAGUGGAAUAAACCAAUUAUCCGACAAUAUUGGAUGUGUAUGCCUCUAUGUGGUCAUCUCUUGGCGGAAACGUGGAGUUGGAUUGUUCAUCUAUUUGGUAAGGGAUCAUGCUACACAUACACACCAAAAUACACCAUUUGGGAUGAAUCUUUUAAGGAUCGGAGAAUUGAUUUAUUCAACAAUAACAACAUGCAUUAUAUCGGUCUUAGAAUACGUGAUGAUUUUCCAUUACCACCGGUAGAUGGGUUUCAUGAGGUCUCGGAGGUCACCAAGGAGUGGCUAAAAAAAUACGUCCCAAUAUGAGGCGAUGAGAGGAAUUGAUCGUGCCGGAUCAAUUCGAAGGUCUACAUUUGUUGGAAUGAGUAUUUUCCUUAUGUUAAAAACUUGAUCUAUCAGAUGCUUAUACUUUGUCUCUUUCUUAUAUUGUAUUUUGCAUACUUGAACCAAGCUUAGUGAAUGAAAGUGAUUUGUUUUUUUUUGGUACGUUGGACUC